CCUACGGGUGGCAGCAGUGGGGGAUAUUGCACAAUGGGGGAAACCCUGAUGCAGCGACGCCGCGUGGGUGAAGAAGCGCCUCGGCGCUUAAAGCCCUGUCAGCAGGGAAGAAAAUGACGGUACCUGAAGACGAAGCCCCGGCUAACUCCGUGCCAGCAGCCGCGGUAAUACGGAGGGGGCAAGCGUUGUCCGGAUUUACUGGGUGUAACGGGGGCGCAGGCGGCGAUGCAAGCCUGGAGUGAAAGCCCGGGGCCCAACCCCGGGACUGCUCUGGGUACUGCGUGGCUAGAGUGCAGGAGGGGUAGGGGGAAUUCCUGGUGUAGCGGUGAAAUGCGUAGAUAUCAGGAGGAACAUCGGUGGCGAAGGCGGCUUGCUGGACUGUAAUUGACGUUGAGGAACGAAAGCGUGGGGAGCAAAUAGGAUUAGAUACCCGGGUAGUC
RNAcentral lists this ribosomal RNA (440 nucleotides) under uncultured bacterium. Its description in RNAcentral is "partial 16S ribosomal RNA". It matches the Rfam family "Bacterial small subunit ribosomal RNA", at positions 338 to 795 of the family's 1533-position model. The record is from RNAcentral.